GACGAACGCUGGCGGCGUGCUUAACACAUGCAAGUCGAACGGAAAGGCCCUGCUUUUGUGGGGUGCUCGAGUGGCGAACGGGUGAGUAACACGUGAGUAACCUGCCCUUGACUUUGGGAUAACUUCAGGAAACUGGGGCUAAUACCGGACAGGAGCUCCUGCUGCAUGGUGGGGGUUGGAAAGUUUCGGCGGUUGGGGAUGGACACGCGGCUUAUCGGCUUGUUGGUGGGGUAGUGGCUUACCAAGGCUUUGACGGGUAGCCGGCCGGCGAGGGUGACCGGCCCCAUUGGGCCUGGGGUACGGCCCAGACUCCUACGGGGGGCAGCGGGGGGGAAUAUUGCACAAUGGGCGGAAGCUUGAUGCAGCAACGCCGCGUGCGGGAUGACGGCCUUCGGGUUGUAAACCGCUUUCGCCUGUGACGAAGCGUGAGUGACGGUAAUGGGUAAAGAAGCACCGGCUAACUACGUG
Molecule: ribosomal RNA, 468 nt
Filed under: uncultured bacterium
Lineage: Bacteria
Description: partial 16S ribosomal RNA
Rfam family: Bacterial small subunit ribosomal RNA
Source: RNAcentral